Molecule: ribosomal RNA, 253 nt
Filed under: uncultured bacterium
Lineage: Bacteria
Description: partial 16S ribosomal RNA
Rfam family: Bacterial small subunit ribosomal RNA
Source: RNAcentral
UACGUAGGUGGCAAGCGUUGUCCGGAUUUACUGGGCGUAAAGGAUGCGUAGGCGGACAUUUAAGUCAGAUGUGAAAUACCCGAGCUUAACUUGGGUGCUGCAUUUGAAACUGGGUGUCUAGAGUGCAGGAGAGGUAAGUGGAAUUCCUAGUGUAGCGGUGAAAUGCGUAGAGAUUAGGAAGAACACCAGUGGCGAAGGCGCCGCUCUGGGCCGAGACUGACGCUGAGGAGCGAAAGCGUGGGUAGCAAACAGG